GUCAAGAUCGUGUAGCUUCCCA
This 22-nucleotide non-coding RNA is filed under the name Arabidopsis thaliana (thale cress). Lineage: Eukaryota; Viridiplantae; Streptophyta; Magnoliopsida; Brassicales; Brassicaceae. The record is from RNAcentral.